Molecule: ribosomal RNA, 294 nt
Filed under: uncultured bacterium JIII-12-97
Lineage: Bacteria
Description: partial 16S ribosomal RNA
Rfam family: Bacterial small subunit ribosomal RNA
Source: RNAcentral
UCCUCGGGYKUGGAAAGUUUUUCGGUUAAGGAUGAGCUCGCGGCCUAUCAGCUWGUUGGUGAGGUAAUGGCUCACCAAGGCGACGACGGGUAGCCGGCCUGAGAGGGYGACCGGCCACACUGGGAYUGAGACACGGCCCAGACUCCUACGGGAGGCAGCAGUGGGGAAUAUUGGGCAAUGGRCGAAAGCCUGACCCAGCRACGCCGCGUGAGGGAUGAAGGCCUUCGGGUUGUAAACCUCUUUCAGCAGGGAAGAAGCGAAAGUGACGGUACCUGCAGAAGAAGCACCGGCUAA